Molecule: long non-coding RNA, 5702 nt
Filed under: Hordeum vulgare
Lineage: Eukaryota; Viridiplantae; Streptophyta; Magnoliopsida; Poales; Poaceae
Description: long non-coding RNA (HVUL_LNC000105)
Source: RNAcentral
CCCAACAACCAUUCCACCAACAAGCAGAAUUAAUAAUUCCCCAGCAACCUCAAAAACCAUUCCCUCUGCAGCCACAGCAACCAUAUACACAACAAACCAUCUGGAGUAUGGUAUAGUCGUCAGGGGCCAAUGAAGCAAAAAGUUGUAAUACUAAAUGGGUGGAUCAUCAUCCUUUAGUCAACGGAGUGUUUAAUGUAAUGAUGAUAAAUAAAGUGAUGUGCACCAUCAUGUGUAACCCCGACCUAUACUAGUUCAAAUGAGAAUAAAAGUCAAAGAAAGUUCUUGUCACAAGGACAGUGCUGGUAAUUAUUUAAUUCACGCCAUAUUUAGAUUUUCAUCCCUAACUACAAUUUGAGUUACAUGCAUUAUCUGCAAUUUAUGAAGUGAAGUCCUAUGAGCCUAACAUAAUUAAUGGUUGAAAGCUUGGUUUGAAUUGAAUUAUUAGCAAAUAAAGAGUAAGGAAUAAUUGCAAAUUAUCUCUUCGAUGUCUAGCCAUAUGAAUUGUGUGACCUUAUCGUUCGCAAUGAUUCUAGAUUGUACAUAUACAUUUUUCUAAUUGUUGACCGACAUAUGAAGCAACAUAUGCUUAAACAUAUGGUGACCGACCACUGGUCUCGGUGUAAAUCUCACUAGCAGCUUUAUAUCGAAGGGAGUGAGAUGAUGAUGACUUCGUGUUAAAUUUUGUAGUUAUUUAAAUAGUUUCUUUAAUGGACCGGUUGCUCAUAUUAGGAAAUGGGCUUGCGCCAUAUCGAGUUCUUGGAAAUAGACAAGAUGAAGGGAUGAUUGAAUUUAUUCCUUCUAUUUCUCCUGCACAUGUAACUUGAGAUUGAAUAUGGUAGCAUUACAAGUUACUAAUAGAAGUUCCAUUAGACUAAUUAUGUCCACCUAGUAUAGCUACCCAAUGGUCAGAAGCUUUUAUUAAAAUUAGUGUUGGUCACACUAAAAUGAAUAUAUUAUGGGUGAAAUAUCAGUCAUCAAAAAUAGCACUUGCAAUGAACGACAAGCUCCCCUCUUUGAUGGUAGUGAUCACUUUUAUAUUAUCCUCAUGGAUCUCAAGUUUAUUGCAUCCGCUCAUAUAUGCAAGAUUUAUACCAAACCUCCAGGAUAAGGCCUCUACUAUAGAAGCAUUAUAACUAGAAUCAACCUUAUCAUUUGUAUCUGCAUUGAAUUUCACAUUGUUACCCUUUAUCACCGCUCCAACAACACCCUGAUAUGAGUCAAGGAUCAAACGAUGCAUCUAUGUUGAGUUUCGCAUGGUCUCUUUGGGAUAGUAUCUGCUUCGCAUUUUAUGCAACUCUAGAAAUUAUGAUAGCUAUAUAAUCUUUAAAAUGUACGCCGAAUUUGUGAAUGCUUUUUUUUGGGUUGUUGUAUAUUUAGCAAUAUUCAACCAUCAAUCAUGUACUGCUGCAGGUAUGAGUCUAUUUAUGUUUUCUUUGAGGAAAUGAGACUAAUCAUGUUGCUUUAGAGAAAAACUUAUGAAUACAAAUGAAUAAACCAAGCAGCUUCUUGGUUGUCAAAGCAUAUUCUGAGAAGGGCUAUGUGCAUUAUUGGGAAUAAUCUUGUAAGCCACAGCUUGGCAGCAAGGUACACGGGACUCGGGGCGACCCUUGACGAUGCAGCCAUGGUGAAGAAACUGCUCGACACCGUGUCGGACCGGCUAUACACCACGGUGGACGUCAUAGAGAAGUUCUGCGACGCUCAUGCGUUCGUUUAGGUGCUCGGGCGGUUGAAAGCGUUCGAGGAGCGGAGGUAGCAAUGCACACACGUCGGCGGCGAGCGGGCAGAUGGGCAGCUGAUGCUCACGACAGCCCAAUGGGAGGCGCGGCGGUGACAGAAGGACGACGGCUCCGACGACUACGGGGUAUCGAGCAAAUCUUCGGGCAGCUGGAAGAAGAGGCGCAGGCACAACUACAACAGUGGGCACCAGAGCCACUUCAAGCGCGACUGUCCCAAACAGUGGAAGGUGCCGGCAGCGGAGCAGGCGUUGCAGGCAGACGUCGGCGAUGACUUCGGCGGGCUGGGACUCCUCUAGUCCGUAGCUUAGGGGGUGUUGGAAAAGGUUGUAAGCCACGACCAGGCCGGCUCGGGCGUGUGUGUGUGAGCGCGCCGGGCUGAAUCAAGUGCGGCCAUGGCAGGUGACUCGGGCGUGUCGGGUGCAUGCGUGUGUGGCAGCGUGUACGGGGAAGUCCUUGCGGAUGCGCAGGGUGUGCGUGAGAAUAGGUCUCUAUGGCCGAGGCUUGACCUAUAUCCAGUGGCGGAGGCAGGGGUGCUGGCAAGGGUCGUGGCUCCCCCUAUGCUCUCACAAAUACACCUAUAUGUAGUCCUAAUCCUCCAUUUGUCAAACACAAUUAGCUAGCUUUAGGUGAUUUGGGCCCCUCUAUUAUUAUAUGACAUAUUUUGGCCCCUUCUAUAUUCAGUUUCUGACUCCACCACUUCAUGUGUCUGACUCAUGUAUGGGCAUAGUCUGAAUUGUGUCUGACUAGUGUACAGGCCACGUAUGGGUUGCGUACGGGAGCCUCUUGCCGCGCGUCUCCUCGCACAGUGCCACGUGUCCGGCUGGGUGGGGGCAGCAGGAAAAAUUCUCCUCCCAAAUGAAAAAAUUCCAGUGGGGCAACCCGAGGAGGCCGAAAAAAUGCCUCCUGGGACACAGCGAGUGGAGUGAUGGAAAGAUAUGGAAAGCAUAGGCCAUGGUGCGGUGAUGAAAAGAUAUGGAUGACAUCCAUCAUGUAGUAGUUACACACUAGAGCAACACAAAACUAGCUCCAAUUCAUCAAUAUAAUGUAGGCAUGUAUUCUAUAUAUAGUCAUAUGUGCUUGCAAUAAGCACUUGCGUAAUCUUUUGUCCUACCCUCUCAUGGAAGCGGGGUCCUAUUGGAAAACAAGGGAUAUUAAGGCAUCCUUUUGAUAUAUAAAUGGAACAAAUCAUUACCACAUGGUGAAUACAUGAAUUCCUCAAACUACGGCAAUCACCAGAAAGAAUCCCAAUUAUUGUCACCUUGGGGUAUGCGGAUCAAGACACAUAAUAGGUGCAUACAGCUUGCAAGAUAGGAUCUGAAUCACUCUUAUAUUCAUGAAAACAUAAUAGGUUCAGAUCUGAAAUCAUGGCACUCGAGCCUUAGUGACAAGCAUUAAGCAUAGCAAAGUAAUAGCAACAUAAAUCUCAGAACAUAGUGGAUACUAGGGAUCAAGCCCUAUCAAAUUAACUCGAUUACAUGAUCAAUUCCAUCCACACACAUCACCGACUAGCAAGCCUACAAAGGAAUUACUCACUCCCGGUGGUGAGAAUCAUGGAAUUGUUAAUGGAUAAGGGUUGGUGAUGACGAGUGCGAUGAAUCCCCCUCCCUGGAGCCCUAAACAGACUACACAUCAGCCCUCCGGAAGAGGAACAGGAGGUGGCCACGGCUCCGUCUCGUAGAUCGCAAUGAAAACUUCUCUUUGAUUUUUCUCUGAAUAUGUUAACUUAUAGAACCGGAGAUAUGGUCGGGGGAGCCUCGUAGGCCCCACCAAGAAAUAGUGCGCAGCCUAGGGGGCGGCCUCACCGUGUUGCCUCGUGGCCACAGGGACCCCUCGGUGGGUCUUUGCUUCAUAAAUCAUUAUAAUUCCUAGUACAAUUUCAUAAAAAGUGUCGUCCAAUUCCGAGAACUUUUAUUUAUGCACAAAAAUAACACCAAGGUAGUUCGGAUUAGUUUCAUUCAAAUCAUGAAAAAUAGAGUCCAAAACAAGAGUAGAAGAGUUUGGAAAAGUAGAUACAUUGGAAAUGUAUCAGCCAUCGACAAGCAGGAACACCCCUAGACUGUCAUUAUGGUUUGAUAAUUGUUACAGAAUGCGGACGGCUAGGCUGAGGCACUGCAUAUGUAGGGUGAAGAUGGUUCAGAUCUGAAAUGAUGGCUCUUGGGCCCUAAUGGCAAGCAUUAAGCAUGCGAAGGUGCUGUCCCACAGACAACAGCGCCAGAAAUUGACACGUUGACAGAGGCUGGGCUUGCGUUGGUUCUUCCCUUGAAGAGGAAAGGGUGAUGCAGCACAGGAUCAGUAAGUAUUUACCUCAGUUCGAAAACCAAGGUAUCGAUCCAGAAGGAGGGUCUCGUCAAGUCCAGACUACCUGCGCAAACACAAACAAGCUUGCACCCAACGCUUCAAAGGGGUUGUCAAUCCCUUCAAGAUUGUUUGCAAAGUGAGAUCUGAUGGCGGAAAGUACAACGAAGUAAAAAGUGUAACACUGAAAAUAUGGUGUGGAGUAGACCCUGGGGGCCAUAGUGUUCACUAGAGGCUUCUCUCAAAAUAGCAAGUAUUACGGUGGGUGAACAAAUUACUGUCGAGCAAUUGAUAGAACCGCGCAAAGUCAUGACGAUAUCUAACGCAAUGAUCAUGCAUAUAGGCAUCACGUCCGAGACAAAUAGACAGAUACUUCCUGCAUCUACUACUAUUACUCCACACAUCGACCGCUAUCCAGCAUGCAUCUAGUGUAUUGACUUCAUGACGAACAGAGUAACGCUUUAAGCAAGAUGACAUGAUGUAGAGGGAUAAUCUCAAACCAAUGAUGAAAACCCCAUCUUUUUACCCUUGAUGGAAACAACAUGAUGCAUGCCUCGCUACCCCUUCUGUCACUGGGUGAGGUCACCGCACGGUAUGAACCCAAAACCAAGCACUUCUCCCAUUGCAAGAAUCAUAGAUCUAGUUGGCCAGACAAAACCCACAACUCGAAGAGAAUUACAAGGAUAUGAAAUCAUGCAUAAGAGAGAUCAGAAGAAACUCAAAUAAGAUUCAUAGCUAAUCUGAUCAUAAAUCCACAAUUCAUUGGAUCUCGACAAACACACCGCAAAAGAAUAUUACAUCGGAUAGAUCUCCUUGAAGAUCAUGGAGAACUUUGUAUUGAAGAUACAAGAGAGAGAAGAAGCCAUCUAGUUACUAGCUAUGAACCCGUAGGUCUAUGGUGAACUACUCACGCACCAUCGGAGAGGUCAUGGUGUUGAUGGAGAAGCCCUCCGUGUCCGAAUCCCCCUCCGGCAGGGCACCAGGACGUGCCCCAGAUGGGAUCUUGCGGCUAGAGAAGCUUGCGGCGGCGGAAAAGCGAUUGCGAUGACCUCCUGAUUUUUUCUAGAAUUUAUGGGAUUAUAUAGGCGAAAGACCUAGGUCAAGGGACCUCCAGGGGGCCCACAAGCCUGGAUGGCACCCCCCCUGGCCGCGGGGUGGGGGCUUGUGGGGCCCCUGGGGCUCCCCUGCCUUGGCUCCCAAGUUCCCCGAUCUUCUUCCGUUCCAAAAAAAUCUUUUCGGGGAUUUUCUUCCGUUUGGACUCCAUUUCAAAAUCUCCUCUGAAAGGGGUCAAAAACAUGGAAAAAAUAGGAACUGACACUUGGCACUGAGUUAAUAAGUUUGUCCCAAAAAGUAUAUAAAAGGCAUACAAAACAUCCAAAGUUUGACAAGAUAACAGCAUGAAACCAUCAAAAAUUAUAGAUAUGUUGGAGACAUAUCAAGCAUCCCCAAGCUUAACUCUUGCUCGUCCUCGAGUAGGGAAGUGAUAAAGAAUGAAUUUCUGAUGUGGAAUGCUACCUAGCAUAGUUGUACUUUGCAACUUCUUUCAUGUGACAUGAAUGUUCAGAUCCGUAAGAUUCAAAACAAUAGUUUGCUAUUGACAUGAAAACAGUAGUACUUCAAGCAAACUAGCAAAGUAAUCAUGAACUUUCAAAAUAACAAGGCCAAAGAAAG